UAUGUGAUCGUCUCUCGCAUAUCAAUAAGCGGAGGAAAAGAAACUAACAAGGAUUCCCCUAGUAACGGCGAGUGAAGCGGGAAGAGCUCAAAUUUGAAAUCUUAAAGGGUUUCCCUUUACGAAUUGUAGUUUAAAGAAGUGUUUUCUGUUGAGGUUUUGGUAAAAGUUCUUUGGAAUAGGACAUCAUAGAGGGUGAGAGUCCCGUAUUUGACCUUUACUUUCAACUUUGUGAUACACUUUCAAAGAGUCGGAUUGUUUGGGAAUGCAGUCCAAAAUGGGUGGUAAAUUUCAUCUAAAGCUAAAUAUUGGCGAGAGACCGAUAGCGAACAAGUACCGUGAGGGAAAGACGAAAAGAACUUUGAAAAGAGAGUUAAACAGUACGUGAAAUUGUCAAAAGGGAAGCGUUUGACACCAGUGUUGUUUUUCUGAAAAUCAAUUAAAGAACUGUUUAUGCUAAGUUGUUUAGACUUUAUCAGCUAACUGUUUAGUUUUGAGCUUUUCUUUAAUGCACUUUUCAGUUAACAAGUCAACAUCAAUUUCUUUUGCUGUAAAAAAGCUUGAGGAAGGUGGCUUGAGAUUCGUCUUAAGUGUUUAUAGCCUCUUGCCUAUGCAGUCGGAGAGAUUGAGGUCUGCAGCGUAGAUCCUUCGGGGCUAAAUGCAUUUGUGCUAAGUUAUAGCAUUUUAUAGACAACUUGUUGACUAUGAUUUGUCUUGUAGCUUACUCGCUUAUGUUAUUUUACCUACGCUUAGGAUGUUGACACACGCGCGUGCUCG
This 774-nucleotide ribosomal RNA is filed under the name uncultured Neocallimastigales. Its description in RNAcentral is "partial large subunit ribosomal RNA". It matches the Rfam family "Eukaryotic large subunit ribosomal RNA", at positions 24 to 643 of the family's 3401-position model. Lineage: Eukaryota; Fungi; Neocallimastigomycota; Neocallimastigomycetes; Neocallimastigales. The record is from RNAcentral.